Molecule: long non-coding RNA, 255 nt
Filed under: Lathyrus oleraceus (garden pea)
Lineage: Eukaryota; Viridiplantae; Streptophyta; Magnoliopsida; Fabales; Fabaceae
Description: Pisum sativum (pea) long non-coding RNA (PSAT_LNC009074)
Source: RNAcentral
UCGAAUUUAGUGCAUUUUUAUAGUUAAACAUAAUUUCUAAAUAAUAUAAAUAGGAUAGACAUUUUCCAAUUUCAUUGCAUUUUCCCCUUUUCAUUUGUUUUUACCUUUUAUAAAAAAAAUCAAAAAGUUAUAUUUUUUUAAUUAUAUUUUAUUAAUUUUUCGUAUUUUUAAUUUAUGCAUUUUAAAAAAUUAUUAUUUUUCACUUUUUGUAUUACUUUUAGUAAAACAAAUGUCCAAAAGAGAUUUCUAAAAAAU